RNAcentral lists this transfer RNA (56 nucleotides) under Cavia porcellus (domestic guinea pig). It matches the Rfam family "tRNA", at positions 9 to 63 of the family's 71-position model. Rfam says of the family: Transfer RNA (tRNA) molecules are approximately 80 nucleotides in length. Their secondary structure includes four short double-helical elements and three loops (D, anti-codon, and T loops). The record is from Rfam by way of RNAcentral. Lineage: Eukaryota; Metazoa; Chordata; Mammalia; Rodentia; Caviidae.
AGCUCAGAGGUACAGCAUGUGCUUCCCAGGCACGAGGCUCUGGGUUCAUAUCCCAG